This 253-nucleotide ribosomal RNA is filed under the name uncultured bacterium. RNAcentral describes it as "partial 16S ribosomal RNA". It matches the Rfam family "Bacterial small subunit ribosomal RNA", at positions 524 to 776 of the family's 1533-position model. The record is from RNAcentral.
UACGUAGGGGGCUAGCGUUGUCCGGAUUUAUUGGGCGUAAAGAGCGUGUAGGCGGCCAGGUAGGUCUGCUGUGAAAACUCGAGGCUCAACCUCGAGACGUCGGCGGAAACCAUCUGGCUAGAGUCCGGAAGAGGAGAGUGGAAUUCCUGGUGUAGCGGUGAAGUGCGCAGAUAUCAGGAAGAACACCCGUGGCGAAGGCGGCUCUCUGGGACGGUACUGACGCUGAGACGCGAAAGCGUGGGGAGCGAACAGG